GUCUCUCUACUGGUGGAUCACGAUGGUGUAGAUCAAACUAGAAUAUCCGCCAGCAUGCUUCGGUUGUUGAUAUGUAUCUCAUCUCUAGGUAUUUCUUGAUUUCAUCAUAGUCGUUUGUUGCGUCCCUUUCCUUUAGUAAGGCUGUUACUUGGUCGUCAUCUUUAUGGAUGUACUUAAAUAGGUACUUGAUUGACCUGGACCUGUUGCACCACUCCACAUUUAUGUGAGCUUGGAAUUUGACCAAAAGGUUUCUGUUGUAUGGCACAACAAAUCUGUUAUCGAGCAUUGCUCCUCCCUUUUUGAUAUUCCUUCCAUUGUCUCGCC
This 324-nucleotide long non-coding RNA is filed under the name Triticum aestivum (bread wheat). Its description in RNAcentral is "long non-coding RNA (TAES_LNC002725)". The record is from RNAcentral. Lineage: Eukaryota; Viridiplantae; Streptophyta; Magnoliopsida; Poales; Poaceae.